UACGAAGGGGGCUAGCGUUGCUCGGAAUCACUGGGCGUAAAGCGCACGUAGGCGGAUUGCUAAGUCAGGGGUGAAAUCCUGGAGCUCAACUCCAGAACUGCCUUUGAUACUGGCGAUCUCGAGUCCGGGAGAGGUGAGUGGAACUGCGAGUGUAGAGGUGAAAUUCGUAGAUAUUCGCAAGAACACCAGUGGCGAAGGCGGCUCACUGGCCCGGUACUGACGCUGAGGUGCGAAAGCGGUGGGGAGCAAACAGG
Molecule: ribosomal RNA, 254 nt
Filed under: uncultured bacterium
Lineage: Bacteria
Description: partial 16S ribosomal RNA
Rfam family: Bacterial small subunit ribosomal RNA
Source: RNAcentral